AUUGAAAUUUUUUGUCAAGCUCCAAUAAGUUUCACAGAAAGAGGAUACAUAAUUAUACAUAGUAGUCCAUAUAUAUAUGUACAAGACCACAACACCACCAAAUUACAAAUCCAAGAAAUUGAGAAGAAAAUACCAUAUUUACAAGAAGAAAAAGAAAAACAAACACCCCAAUAUAUACGUAUUUAUAUAAGCUGAAAACAGCUCUCAAAUCCAAAGAAAAGUCGGUUUUCCUACUUCAAUUUCCUCUCUCGUAAACUCUUACAAGCAGCUACCAGCGGUUGGUUCCUUCUUUGCGAUUAUUCAAUCCAUCGAACCUUGCACUCUUACUAUUUUUAGCUAUAUAUUAAUAUUUAUAUAGUUGGCCGUCACAUCUCUUUAUGCAUAUGAAGAAGCACCCAAGAUAUGAUCAGAAAGUUGAUCUAUAUGUACAAGAGUAGAAUAAUAUAUAUAUUGUUGCCGAUUCUUCAACCAAAAUCGUCACUUUCCUCUCUCAACGAUCCAAAGCACUCAUCACCAUCCUGCAAUAAACAUGAAGGCACAACCCCAUAUAUAAGCCAUAACCAAUGCUAUAUGUAGAAUUAAACAUUUUCAUCUUUAUUUUUAUUCCAUGUUUUCCUUAUUUUUGCUUAAUAUGGCGGGCACAAAUGUUAUCAUAAAAAGAAAAAUGAUAAAAAGAGAACCAAUCGUGAAUGGUCGGACUUCUAGGCUCAGCAGGAAGUAGUGCAUCAGCAGACGAUUUUCUCCUCGUCAGUCUCUUGAAUUCCUCGCUUGGUGUCCCAGGUGAGAAUGGAGUCCCAGGAGUGCUACAGGCAGCAGGAGAAUCAGGAGCCGAACCAGGAUCCACAGACAAGUUCUUGAAAUUGGAAUGAGUCUUAAGAACAGUAAUGCUUCGAGUGAUAGCCAUUUCCUCAUGAGGAAUAGCAGCAGGAGCAGAUCUUGGUGUGGAAGCAGAGAAAGAAUCAUACUUACGCAGUUUGCCGAGCCCUGUAUCGGGCGCAGGCCCUGCGAGCGUUUCGUCCCAGAGCUUAUGGAGAAAUCCCAUGAUUUUAUCUCAAAGUAACAGCCGAAAACAAGCCUUAAAUGAAACAGGUUUCGUUCUGGGCGAUCUCUGUUUGUUUUAAAGAUAUUUCUUUAGCUUUUCUUUAUUUUCUUGGACCUUAAACGACUGUUACUAAGAGAGAAAGAGGGGCGAAACGCAGAGAGAAGAAAAGAGGGGAGAUUGAAAGAGGUGUUUAUCUAUUAUUUUUAAUAAUUAUUAUUAUUCUGGUAAGGAAUGCAAGGGUAGGGUUUUUAUUUUUUUAUAGAGAAAGUUCAGAGGAAGAAGGCAAUGUUUUGUUC
RNAcentral lists this unclassified non-coding RNA (1338 nucleotides) under Hevea brasiliensis (rubber tree). Lineage: Eukaryota; Viridiplantae; Streptophyta; Magnoliopsida; Malpighiales; Euphorbiaceae. The record is from RNAcentral.